RNAcentral lists this ribosomal RNA (360 nucleotides) under uncultured bacterium. RNAcentral describes it as "bacterial SSU rRNA". It matches the Rfam family "Bacterial small subunit ribosomal RNA", at positions 1072 to 1397 of the family's 1533-position model. The record is from RNAcentral.
AUGUUGGGUUAAGUCCCGCAACGAGCGCAACCCUUAUCCUUAGUUGCCAUCAUUUGGUUGGGCACUCUAGGGAGACCGCCGGUGACAAACCGGAGGAAGGUGGGGAUGACGUCAAGUCACUCACUGGGCCCCUUAUGGCCAGUGGCGUACACACGCUACGUACAAAUGGGUGCUACUACAGAGGGGUUGCCAAGCCGCGAGGUGGAGCUAAAUCCCCACGUAAAAGUACGAUCGCUAGUCCCGGGAUCGGGAGUCUGCGAACUCUGCACUCCCGCUGAAAGUCUGGAAUCUGCUAGUAAUCUGCCGGAUCACGCAUUUGCGGCGGUGAAUACGUUCCCGGGCCUUGUACACACCGCCCGU